GGUAGUUUGACUGGGGCGGUCUCCUCCUAAAGAGUAACGGAGGAGUACGAAGGUGCGCUCAGACCGGUCGGAAAUCGGUCGUAGAGUAUAAAGGCAAAAGCGCGCUUGACUGCGAGACAGACACGUCGAGCAGGUACGAAAGUAGGUCUUAGUGAUCCGGUGGUUCUGUAUGGAAGGGCCAUCGCUCAACGGAUAAAAGGUACUCCGGGGAUAACAGGCUGAUACCGCCCAAGAGUUCAUAUCGACGGCGGUGUUUGGCACCUCGAUGUCGGCUCAUCACAUCCUGGGGCUGAAGCCGGUCCCAAGGGUAUGGCUGUUCGCCAUUUAAAGUGGUACGCGAGCUGGGUUUAGAACGUCGUGAGACAGUUCGGUCCCUAUCUGCCGUGGACGUUUGAGAUUUGAGAGGGGCUGCUCCUAGUACGAGAGGACCGGAGUGGACGAACCUCUGGUGUUCCGGUUGUCACGCCAGUGGCAUUGCCGGGUAGCUAUGUUCGGAAUAGAUAACCGCUGAAAGCAUCUAAGCGGGAAACUAGCCUCAAGAUGAGAUCUCACUGGGACCUUGAGUCCCCUGAAGGGCCGUCGAAGACUACGACGUUGAUAGGUUGGGUGUGUAAGCGCUGUGAGGCGUUGAGCUAACCAAUACUAAUUGCCCGUGAGGCUUGACCAUAUAACACCCAAGCAAUU
RNAcentral lists this ribosomal RNA (684 nucleotides) under Pseudomonas sp. JV449. RNAcentral's name for it is "partial 23S ribosomal RNA". It matches the Rfam family "Bacterial large subunit ribosomal RNA", at positions 2264 to 2925 of the family's 2925-position model. Lineage: Bacteria; Pseudomonadati; Pseudomonadota; Gammaproteobacteria; Pseudomonadales; Pseudomonadaceae. The record is from RNAcentral.